Molecule: ribosomal RNA, 491 nt
Filed under: uncultured Clostridium sp.
Lineage: Bacteria; Bacillati; Bacillota; Clostridia; Eubacteriales; Clostridiaceae
Description: bacterial SSU rRNA
Rfam family: Bacterial small subunit ribosomal RNA
Source: RNAcentral
UUGGCAUGAAAGGAGUAAUCUCGCUUCUGAGAUGGACCCGCGGCGCAUCUAUCUCUAGUCUGGUGGGGUAAUGGCCUACCAAGACAGCGAUGCGUAGCCGACCUGAGAGGGUGAUCGGCCACUUGGAACUGAGAUACGGUCCAGACUCCUACGGGAGGCAGCAGUGGGGAAUAUUGCACAAUGGGCGAAAGCCUGAUGCAGCAACGCCGCGUGAGUGAUGAAGGUCUUCGGAUUGUAAAGCUCUGUCUUUUGGGACGAUAAUGACGGUACCAAAGGAGGAAGCCACGGCUAACUACGUGCCAGCAGCCGCGGUAAUACAUAGGUGGCGAGCGUUGUCCGGAUUUACUGGGCGUAAAGGGUGCGUAGGCGGAUGUUUAAGUGAGAUGUGAAAUACCCGGGCUUAACUUGGGUGCUGCAUUUCAAACUGGAUAUCUAGAGUGCAGGAGAGGAGAAUGGAAUCCUAGUGUAGCGGUGAACUGCCUAAAGAUUAA